Molecule: ribosomal RNA, 357 nt
Filed under: Clostridioides difficile
Lineage: Bacteria; Bacillati; Bacillota; Clostridia; Peptostreptococcales; Peptostreptococcaceae
Description: bacterial SSU rRNA
Rfam family: Bacterial small subunit ribosomal RNA
Source: RNAcentral
UUUUAUUUGAGAGUUUGAUCCUGGCUCAGGAUGAACGCUGGCGGCGUGCCUAACACAUGCAAGUUGAGCGAUUUACUUCGGUAAAGAGCGGCGGACGGGUGAGUAACGCGUGGGUAACCUACCCUGUACACACGGAUAACAUCCCGAAAGGUAUGCUAAUACGGGAUAAUAUAUUUGAGAGGCAUCUCUUAAAUAUCAAAGGUGAGCCAGUACAGGAUGGACCCGCGUCUGAUUAGCUAGUUGGUAAGGUAACGGCUUACCAAGGCGACGAUCAGUAGCCGACCUGAGAGGGUGAUCGGCCACAUUGGAACUGAGACACGGUCCAAACUCCUACGGGAGGCAGCAGUGGGGAAUAUU